Molecule: non-coding RNA, 86 nt
Organism: Xenopus tropicalis (tropical clawed frog)
Lineage: Eukaryota; Metazoa; Chordata; Amphibia; Anura; Pipidae
Source: Rfam
GGCUCUGUGGCGCAAUGGAUAGCGCAUUGGACUUCUAGUUGAUAAAAGAUAUUCAAAGGUUGUGGGUUCGAGUCCCACCAGAGUCG